GCAACACUUUUAUUACAGCAUAAAAUAUAAGCCUGUGAUUGUGAGUCGGAGUAGGCUCCGUACUGUGAGUAGGGUUUACGUAGGUGUAUUGACUGCGAUUAACCCCUUGUUCCACUUUAAGGGUGAUAUGCUUUACAACAACAAAAAAACUCAGCAUACAGUAUUACCAGUGUUCUUGUACAUUCAACACCUUGCAUGUGAAACAGCCAUACUUUAGUAGUCAAUAAGUUAUUUAAUAGGUUGAUUAUAUUCUGGUCUGUUACAGGAAAUCUUUGUUUUUUGUUAAAUGGCUUGGAUGAGUGAUAUUAAUAUGGAACUUCAUCUCAACAUGAUAAUGGUAGUGCUCAUUCAGCUAUGAAAAGCGAGCUACUGUAUACUAGGUUCAGUUACGUCAGGUUCAGUUACGCAAAAUGAGCUCUGAGGAUAGGAAGUAUCAAUAAAUAGAUAUAUUACAUCAAUAUCUGCCCGGAUGUGGUGUUAGGAGCUGAUACUGUACAUAGUGCUCUCUGGAUGCCUGGGUAUUUGCACAUCCUCAGUACAAGUCGCCUAGAAUCCAGGGGCGAAAAUCUGAUAUCAACUUUGGAGGGGACAAUUACAUUACAUUUUCUCAAGAGCAAUUCCUGAGGGGGACACCAAAAGUAGUGCUGUAACACAUAGCCUACGUUUAAUAUGGUAAAUGUAUAUUGAGGAACCAAAGAAAUAAGGUGUUUGCCGUACUCCUAACUACUGGUACCCAAAACUACACAACUAAUCACAACAGCAAUACCAUUGCCUUUAACAAAUCUUAGUUCAGUCACCAGUUUAAGUUGAGAGUGGGGGUAUCCAUGGCAUUUUCCAAUUAUGUUCCUAUUUUACAAGUCAAAAAAAUGGAGAACCUUUCAUAAUGUUGCCAAACAAAGACUCAACAAACUGACCUGAGACUCCCUGUCUCUGCCAGUCUGUCCCUGCAUAUCUGUCCCCAACUCUGCUGUCUGUGUGCCAUCUGUUGCCUGCUCUGCCUAAUGACAUCAUUGUGAAACAUUUCCAUUAGAAUUUCAUUUCUUUCUUAUGAACAUUUUAUCAACUAGUCUUUGAGAUAUUAGGCUACUAGGGUUCUUACUUUGCGUUUUGGUGUACUGAAAAAUACUCUGAUGUCUGUCAUUUUUCUGCCAUUUUUCUACCUGGUUGGCUACACACACACAGUACGUAGGUUAUUUACAGUAGGAGAUGGCCUUCUAUCAUCUUAUCUUCUAUCAUUCUAUAUGGGCUUCGAUCUAAAAGGUAGCUAGCAAAUGUGAAACGGAUUGCAGUGACAAGAGUUGACAGCUGUAUGAGUUCACCAUUUACACAACAUAUGCUGCAAACUUUUGUAAUUUUAAUUGUUUGUUUCAUAUUGGCUGGCUUCUAACAAUAGCUGAAUUUGCAAAGCUAGCGAGCACCAAUUCAGUGGUGUUUGCUAUAAUCUUUGCUACCCGGGUUAAAUAAAGGUGAAAUAAAAUAUAUAAAUAAAAGUUCCCUUGCGACAAUUUAGCUUUUGCAACGAGACCAUUAAAUAUAUUUAAAAAAAUGGUAGAAGAGAGUGUAGUUCUGCUCAGUUUAUCGCUAACCUUAUCACAGGGACUUUGAAGCACUAACUUACAUGCAUGCUGAUCUUGAAAUAAAUUGACGAUAGCAAAGAUUCCAUCUUUGACGACGCCACAUAAAUGGAAUAGGUACUAGCUAGCUUAAUAGUUAAUAUUUGCGUGCUAGCUCUGCAUAUUCAGCUAGUGUGUGUGCGCGAUUGACUGGAUUAACCUCACGUCAGUUACGUGCAUUGAGUGCCUUUCAGACAGUAGAUACGACCUCUA
RNAcentral lists this long non-coding RNA (1826 nucleotides) under Salmo salar (Atlantic salmon). Its description in RNAcentral is "lncRNA (ENSSSAG00000114230.1)". Lineage: Eukaryota; Metazoa; Chordata; Actinopteri; Salmoniformes; Salmonidae. The record is from RNAcentral.